Molecule: ribosomal RNA, 440 nt
Filed under: Rhysida sp. CES091308
Lineage: Eukaryota; Metazoa; Arthropoda; Chilopoda; Scolopendromorpha; Scolopendridae
Description: partial 16S ribosomal RNA
Rfam family: Bacterial large subunit ribosomal RNA
Source: RNAcentral
UGGCCGCGGUAUUUUGACCGUGCGAAGGUAGCAUAAUCAUUAGUCUAUUAAAUAUAGUCUGGAAUGAAAGGUCUAACAAGGGGUAGCUUUCUUAAUUUUAUUUUUGAAUUUUAAUUGUCAGUUAGAAUGCUGAUGUGUUGCAGAUGGACGAGAAGACCCUAUAGAGCUUUAUAUAUAAAUUGGUUUUGUUAGUGUAAUUUACUAUUUAUUAUAUUUUGUUGGGGCGACAAUAAAUAGAAAACAUUUAUUAUAUUUAUCUAUUUUUAAGGUUAUUUGAUCCAUUAUUAUUGAUCAUAGACUAAGUUACCUUAGGGAUAACAGCGUAAUUUUAUCUUAGAGUUCUUAUCGAUGAUAAAGAUUGCGACCUCGAUGUUGGAUUAGAAUUCCUUUUUGACGCAGUAGUUUAAGAAGGCAGUCUGUUCGACUGUUAAAAUUCUACA